AGUGAACGCUGGCGGUAGGCCUAACACAUGCAAGUCGAACGGCAGCACAGUAAGAGCUUGCUCUUACGGGUGGCGAGUGGCGGACGGGUGAGGAAUACAUCGGAAUCUACUUUUUCGUGGGGGAUAACGUAGGGAAGCUUACGCUAAUACCGCAUACGACCUACGGGUGAAAGCAGGGGAUCUUCGGACCUUGCGCGAUUGAAUGAGCCGAUGUCGGAUUAGCUAGUUGGCGGGGUAAAGGUCCACCAAGGCGACGAUCCGUAGCUGGUCUGAGAGGAUGAUCAGCCACACUGGAACUGAGACACGGUCCAGACUCCUACGGGAGGCAGCAGUGGGGAAUAUUGGACAAUGGGCGCAAGCCUGAUCCAGCCAUACCGCGUGGGUGAAGAAGGCCUUCGGGUUGUAAAGCCCUUUUGUUGGGAAAGAAAAGCAGCAGGUUAAUACCCCGCUGUUCUGACGGUACCCAAAGAAUAAGCACCGGCUAACUUCGUG
Molecule: ribosomal RNA, 492 nt
Filed under: uncultured bacterium
Lineage: Bacteria
Description: partial 16S ribosomal RNA
Rfam family: Bacterial small subunit ribosomal RNA
Source: RNAcentral